CGUAGGUAACCUGCCUGGUAGCGGGGGAUAACUAUUGGAAACGAUAGCUAAUACCGCAUAAAAUUGAUUAUUGCAUGAUAAUUAAUUGAAAGAUGCAAUUGCAUCACUACCAGAUGGACCUGCGUUGUAUUAGCUAGUUGGUGAGGUAACGGCUCACCAAGGCGACGAUACAUAGCCGACCUGAGAGGGUGAUCGGCCACACUGGGACUGAGACACGGCCCAG
Molecule: ribosomal RNA, 223 nt
Filed under: uncultured Streptococcaceae bacterium
Lineage: Bacteria; Bacillati; Bacillota; Bacilli; Lactobacillales; Streptococcaceae
Description: partial 16S ribosomal RNA
Rfam family: Bacterial small subunit ribosomal RNA
Source: RNAcentral